RNAcentral lists this long non-coding RNA (530 nucleotides) under Vulpes vulpes (red fox). Its description in RNAcentral is "lncRNA (ENSVVUG00000029228.1)". The record is from RNAcentral. Lineage: Eukaryota; Metazoa; Chordata; Mammalia; Carnivora; Canidae.
CCCAUCCCUGGAAGAUCCCACGGGAGCCCAUACCUGGGAGACCUCAGGGGAGUCCAUCCCUGGAAGACCUCAGGGGAGUCCAUCCUUGGGAGACCCCAGGAGCCCUCAAGCAGUGAUUUCAGAGUCAUCUCUUCUUCCUUGCAGCCUGGCUGUCCUGCCUGGAACCUCUGAGACUGUUCUGCUCCUCACACCCUCUCAGAAGCAUCCCAGCAAGCCCUGUGGGAUUCAGUGUGGGUCUCUUGAGAGUGGAAACACCCUCUACCUAUGUGUCACUGUGCCUCUCUUCCUGACACCACCCCCACUGGGAUCCACGAGAGAGGAGCAGAAGAACGGACCUCAGGCUGGGAGGCCAGGGCCGGUGUCUCUAAGGAGGGGGUGUUUUUGCCGAAGGACCUGAAAGACCAGAAGGGGUCGACCAUAUAACUGAGCACAUGGGGUUUCACAUGGGGAGAAGAAUAAGGGCGAAGUCUUGAGGUGUGGUUGUUUCUGGGCAUAAAGAGGAGACCAGUAGGGCUGUUGAGAAGUGUAGA